RNAcentral lists this unclassified non-coding RNA (641 nucleotides) under Hevea brasiliensis (rubber tree). The record is from RNAcentral. Lineage: Eukaryota; Viridiplantae; Streptophyta; Magnoliopsida; Malpighiales; Euphorbiaceae.
ACUCCUGCAGGUUCAGACUCCACUACUACAUCAAAUCAUUCUGAAGUUUGUGCAGAUGAAGACAGCAAGGAGCAUAUUGUAAAAUUUGAGGAUGAUAAAGAUGAAUCAGAAAUAAAACCUCAGCCUUCUGCAGUUAUUGAACCCGUCUCACCAUGUAGUACACUGAAACAAGAAGUCAAGAAAGAGCUGGAAUAUUUUUCUGGGUGUGACUGGGGUGGGAUACCUGAGAUUAAAGUUCCAGAGAAAAAUGAACUUCAACAGAACAAUACUUGUGAGCAAAAACAGAAAGUUAUCUGCAAUCUCCAACCAGAUUCUACGGAUGAUUCUCUAAAUGAGAAGGAUUACAGCUGGGAUAAUGGAUGUGAGGAGCAGGAUUACUGGCAGAAUUUCAGAAUUGAUGAAAUGUUUAGCAUUGAUGAACUGCUUGGAGACAUAGACAACAGCCCGCUUAGUCGGGAAUUUGAUGCUGGUCAACUGUUGUUCACUGACAGUGGUCAUCUACAGCAUGAAUCAUUCCAGUUGCAGAGCCCAAAUUGUAGGUUCAUUGGGAGUGGUCAGCGCACAGAGCAGUUGCCUUCAGAGGGUGAUUACAAUUUUGAUUUCUUGAAGCCUGGCAGGCAGGAAGACAACAAUGUUCCAUU